Molecule: non-coding RNA, 146 nt
Organism: Stenotrophomonas maltophilia R551-3
Lineage: Bacteria; Pseudomonadati; Pseudomonadota; Gammaproteobacteria; Lysobacterales; Lysobacteraceae
Source: Rfam
AAACGUCUUCAGGGCGGGGUGCGAUUCCCCACCGGCGGUAGGUGCGCAAGCACGAGCCCGCGAGCGCUCCGGCCUUACCGCCGGGGGUCAGCAGAUCCGGUCCAAUGCCGGAGCCGACGGUAUAGUCCGGAUGAAAGAAGACGGUG